CGCACACACACACGAAGGAGGUACCCAAAAGUAAUCGGAAGCGUUCUCUGCGGGACAAUCCCAUUUUAGUUCAGGCUUCCGUUGCUAGAAGCCAGUUGAUUCGAACCUCAG
This is a long non-coding RNA of Octopus sinensis (East Asian common octopus), 111 nucleotides long. RefSeq lists it as uncharacterized. NCBI's taxonomy places the organism in Eukaryota, Metazoa, Mollusca, Cephalopoda, Octopoda, Octopodidae. The transcript is spliced from 3 exons. The record is from RefSeq and is a predicted model, not a curated record.